This 405-nucleotide long non-coding RNA is filed under the name Olea europaea (common olive). Its description in RNAcentral is "long non-coding RNA (OEUR_LNC001238)". Lineage: Eukaryota; Viridiplantae; Streptophyta; Magnoliopsida; Lamiales; Oleaceae. The record is from RNAcentral.
GUGGCGGCCGUAUACACUCCAACGGUCAAGUCAGGUUUGGGUGGUCGGAACAGUGUCCAGGGACUACACAAAUCAAUCAGUCAAUAAAGGGGGAGGAGAAUAUAUAAACUUGUUAUGGAGUGCUAUCUAUUGAGAGUUUCAUUACCUUUGCCUCUGGCCAAUCUUUGGGUAUUUAUAGGUGGUAUGAACCGUGGGAUGUGGAACACGUGUAUACAUCUGACGGUAUGAAGCGUCUGCUCAUAGGCGUCAAUCAGCCGCGCUUGUAGAGUGGACGGACAGUUUGUUUCCCCCGAGUUGAAUUGACAUAAAGUUGAUAAGUCACAUCAAAUAGCUUUAUGGGGGACGUCACAUCAAUUUAAACCUUAUAUGCAGAGCAAAUCUUAAAUUGGCAGCGAAUCUUCUAAC